RNAcentral lists this long non-coding RNA (1786 nucleotides) under Sorghum bicolor (sorghum). RNAcentral describes it as "long non-coding RNA (SBIC_LNC011359)". The record is from RNAcentral. Lineage: Eukaryota; Viridiplantae; Streptophyta; Magnoliopsida; Poales; Poaceae.
UUUUUCCUACUUAGUAGUUACUCCCACCUACAUGCGUCUGUACAUUCUCUCCUCCCGCACAUACAACGGGCCACAAGUUGAUUAGCGGGUCAAUUGUGUGGAUCCGUUAACCGAUGGACUAAUCAGUCCUAUAUUACUUCUCUCUCCUCCCAUUUAGAUCGGGAAAAAAUUGAUGCCACUGGAUGUCCUCCCCCGUCCCGCGCCGACGGCGCUCCCCCGCACAGAUACGUGCAUCCCUGACCACGACGGAGCCGUGGUCCAGCCCACAUGGCCACGACGGUGACCGGUGAUAUCCUCCCCCAGGCAUGGUUGUGGAUCCAUGGCGGCGGCCUCCCCAUGGAUCUCGUGUGGCGACGGCGGCUUCCUGAUGCGGCGGCGGCGGCCACUUCGAUGGCAUCGCCUGCUUCUCCCAAAGAGUUGAGGGCUGUGAGCAGAUCCAGUCGACCACGGUGAUGGCACAUUCCUCCCCCGGCGGGCGGUGACUAGGUAAUAUCUGGUUUCGCUCAUCCGGUAUGCCUCUGAAUCUUUUCAAUCCCAUUUAACGAUAGUGUACAUGUGCUCUUGCCUGUUGUGAUCCUUGCCGAGUUGUCAUUCAACAAAGUUGAGAGUAGCACGGAUCUCAUACAUUUUUUAUUCAGCGGGCAUGAUGUGCCCGAUGCAAUGGCUAUGUUAAAUCUGCUGUGAUAUUGAACUUGUUGUGCUUUGUUUCGUUUUUGGAUCAGUGUAUCCGGCCACUCUCCAAUUAGCGUAUCCAUCUAUACGCAAUACCUGGAGGCCAUCAUGAAAACAAUCGUGAAGCUGGACUUUAAUCAUUAGGGAAACCAGAGGAUGGUGGACAACAGCAUGACUAGAGCGGCAACCCUGCGUUAUUUUUUCCAGAUGCUGAGAUCAAAGCGUCACUUGUAAUUUUUCAGAUCUAAGUAUCUUUGGAUACCUUUCUUUAGAUUAAAGUAUCACUUUACUUCUGUCAAUAUUGUAACUACACAUGAUACUUUUUUUAGAUAACAGUAGUAUCAAUUUAUACUUUUUUAGGUUAAAGAAUUACAGCUUUUGAUGAUGAGUAUGUACUAAUACUUCCUUAGGUUCUGGUAUAUAGAAGUAAUUUUUGUAAAGAUUGUAUGUACAUAUACUGCAUAAUUAAGAAGUAUGUGUUGAUACUCUUACAUAUGUUUGUAGUUUCCAUUAACAAAAUGUAUAAAUUUAAAAUUCUAGUAUGCACACACUAUUCUUCACUGACUAGAGUAUCAGUUGAUACUUCCAACGAUUAAAAUAAUGGCUUUCCAAUAUACUUUGAUUGUGUGGUUUAAGUCACUUAUACUAUCUAAAUUUGGUGUAUGUAUGCAUACUCAACUCAAAAAGUAUCAAGUAUGUAUAAAAAAUACUAUAUAUUCUACCAAGUAUGUACAGAUACUAAACUCCAAAAAGUAUAUAUAAAUACAAUAUUCUAAAGUAUGUACUACACGUAUACUCCACUAAUAUAUGUUCCUGUACAUAUGUACGAUACUCGCAAAUUGGUAUGUACAUACUACUCGUAGCGUGCAUACACGUGAAAACAAGACAUAUGUGCCACCGUAUUUUCCUUUACUUGAUCCGUGAAACCUGAGUCGAAAAAAAACGUGAAACCUAUAAUCGCGGCAAUAUCACAGCAAAUAUAUUAUCUUAUUGGUUUUAUUAACUAAAUUAAUCUGCUAGUUGCAUGCGCCCCUCCUUGAUUGGAUCCUCCCGAUACCCAUUAACCCAGUACCGCAGCUGGUGGUACUAUGUAUAGGGAGUAACUACUCCCAUG